Molecule: regulatory RNA element, 176 nt
Organism: Clostridium sp. CAG:510
Lineage: Bacteria; Bacillati; Bacillota; Clostridia; Eubacteriales; Clostridiaceae
Rfam family: Lysine riboswitch aptamer
About the family: Riboswitches are metabolite binding domains within certain messenger RNAs that serve as precision sensors for their corresponding targets. Allosteric rearrangement of mRNA structure is mediated by ligand binding, and this results in modulation of gene expression.
Source: Rfam
AACAAAGAUAGAGGUUGCGUUUUUCAAGAGUAGUUUUUCUGAUGUGACAGGCACAGGUGAGGAAAGAUAAAAGGGGAACACGCCGAAAGAGGAGAUGACCUGUGAAUCAAGUCUUGGGCAUGCGGUUAAAAACCGUAUGACUGUCAUCUAUGAUUAGAUGGGGCGCUAUCGGUAAA